CCUACGGGGAGCAGCAGUGGGGAAUAUUGGACAAUGGGCGAAAGCCUGAUCCAGCCAUGCCGCGUGUGUGAAGAAGGCCUUCGGGUUGUAAAGCACUUUCGGUGGGGAAGAAAGCCUUGGGGCUAAUACCCUCGAGGAAGGACAUCACCCACAGAAGAAGCACCGGCUAACUCCGUGCCAGCAGCCGCGGUAAUACGGAGGGUGCGAGCGUUAAUCGGAAUUACUGGGCGUAAAGCGCGCGUAGGCGGUCUGAUAAGCCGGUUGUGAAAGCCCCGGGCUCAACCUGGGAACGGCAUCCGGAACUGUCAGGCUAGAGUGCAGGAGAGGAAGGUAGAAUUCCCGGUGUAGCGGUGAAAUGCGUAGAGAUCGGGAGGAAUACCAGUGGCGAAGGCGGCCUUCUGGACUGACACUGACGCUGAGGUGCGAAAGCGUGGGUAGCAAACAGGAUUAGAUACCCCAGUAGUC
Molecule: ribosomal RNA, 465 nt
Filed under: Vreelandella stevensii
Lineage: Bacteria; Pseudomonadati; Pseudomonadota; Gammaproteobacteria; Oceanospirillales; Halomonadaceae
Description: partial 16S ribosomal RNA
Rfam family: Bacterial small subunit ribosomal RNA
Source: RNAcentral